UCCACGCCGUAAACGAUGAUAACUAGUUGUUGGCGAUAUACAGUCAGCGACAAAGCGAAAGCAUUAAGUUAUCCACCUGGGGAGUACGAUGGCAACAUUGAAACUCAAAGGAAUUGACGGGGGCCCGCACAAGCGGAGGAACAUGUGGUUUAAUUCGAUGAUACGCGAGGAACCUUACCUGGGCUUGAAAGUUAGUGACGGACGCUGAAAGGUGUCUUCUCUUCGGAGCACGAAACUAGGUGCUGCAUGGUUGUCGUCAGCUCGUGCCGUGAGGUGUCGGGUUAAGUCCCAUAACGAGCGCAACCCUUAUCGCUAGUUGCCA
Molecule: ribosomal RNA, 322 nt
Filed under: uncultured bacterium
Lineage: Bacteria
Description: bacterial SSU rRNA
Rfam family: Bacterial small subunit ribosomal RNA
Source: RNAcentral